AUGUCGUUGGUGAGGUUCUUCGACACGCUGGCCCUGGACUCGUGGAACCCCUUCGGCAGCAUCUUCGGCACCACGGCGUCCAGCGGCACCGACGCCUGGCUGGCCAGCGACACGACGGCGUUCGCCGACACCUACAUCGAGAGCCGGGAGACGGCGGAGGCCUACGUGUUCAGCGCCAGGCUCCCCGCGGGCGUCACCAAGGAGGAGGUCAAGGUGGAGGUGGAGGAGGAGGGCAAGGUGCUGGUCAUCGCCGGCGAGCGGAACCUGCGGAGGGAGGCCAAGAGCGAGACGCGCCACCACGUCGAGCGCAGCGUCGCCACCUUCUUCGGCAGGUUCCACCUCCCCGACGACGCCGCCCUGGGCCAGGUCAGGGCCGCCAUGGACGACGGCGGCGCGCAGCUCAUCGUCACAGUGCCCAGGGCCGGCGUCGCCGUUGCUGCCGUGACCAUGCCCGAGCCGGCCGUGGCCAUCGAGGUCGGCGAGGCCAGCCCGUGCUGA
This 498-nucleotide ribosomal RNA is filed under the name Triticum aestivum (bread wheat). RNAcentral's name for it is "partial small subunit ribosomal RNA". The record is from RNAcentral. Lineage: Eukaryota; Viridiplantae; Streptophyta; Magnoliopsida; Poales; Poaceae.